UAUUAGGUUGGUGCAAAAGUAAUUGUGGUUUUUGUUACUGAAAGUAAUGGCAAAAGCCGCAAUUACUCUUGCACCAACCUAAUA
This 84-nucleotide microRNA precursor is filed under the name Nomascus leucogenys (northern white-cheeked gibbon). RNAcentral's name for it is "mir-548 microRNA precursor family". It matches the Rfam family "mir-548 microRNA precursor family". Lineage: Eukaryota; Metazoa; Chordata; Mammalia; Primates; Hylobatidae. The record is from Rfam by way of RNAcentral.